This 468-nucleotide ribosomal RNA is filed under the name uncultured bacterium. RNAcentral's name for it is "partial 16S ribosomal RNA". It matches the Rfam family "Bacterial small subunit ribosomal RNA", at positions 28 to 507 of the family's 1533-position model. The record is from RNAcentral.
GACGAACGCUGGCGGCGUGCUUAACACAUGCAAGUCGAACGGAAAGGCCCUGCUUUUGUGGGGUGCUCGAGUGGCGAACGGGUGAGUAACACGUGAGUAACCUGCCCUUGACUUUGGGAUAACUUCAGGAAACUGGGGCUAAUACCGGAUAGGAGCUCCUGCUGCAUGGUGGGGGUUGGAAAGUUUCGGCGGUUGGGGAUGGACUCGCGGCUUAUCAGCUUGUUGGUGGGGUAGUGGCUUACCAAGGCUUUGACGGGUAGCCGGCCUGAGAGGGUGACCGGCCACAUGGGGACUGAGAUACGGCCCAGACUCCUAGGGGGGGCGGCAGGGGGAAAUAUGGCACAAGGGGCGGAAGCGUGAGGCGGCAGCGCCGCGUGCGGGAUGACGGCUUUGGGUUUGUAACCCGCUUCCCCCGGAAACGAAGGGUGAGUGAGGGUAGUGGGAAGAAAGGCCCCGGCUACCUACGUG